AUUCCAGCUCCAAUAGCGUAUAUUAAAGUUGUUGCGGUUAAAAAGCUCGUAGUUGGAUUUCUGCUAGGGACGAUCGGUCCACCCACUGGGUGUGUAUCUGUGUCGGCCUUGGCAUCUUCCUGGCGAACGCAACUGCACUUGACUGUGUGGUGCGGUAUCCAGGACUUUUACUUUGAGGAAAUUAGAGUGUUUCAAGCAGGCGCACGCCUUGAAUACAUUAGCAUGGAAUAAUAAGAUAGGACCUGAGUUCUAUUUUGUUGGUUUCUAGAGCUGAGGUAAUGAUUAAUAGGGAUAGUUGGGGGCAUUCGUAUUUAACAGUCAGAGGUGAAAUUCUUGGAUUUGUUAAAGACGGACUACUGCGAAAGCAUUUGCCAAGGAUGUUUUCAUCG
Molecule: ribosomal RNA, 389 nt
Filed under: Gymnodiniaceae sp.
Lineage: Eukaryota; Dinophyceae; Gymnodiniales; Gymnodiniaceae
Description: partial small subunit ribosomal RNA
Rfam family: Eukaryotic small subunit ribosomal RNA
Source: RNAcentral